UACGAAGGGUGCAAGCGUUACUCGGAAUUACUGGGCGUAAAGAGCGUGUAGGCGGCCAGAUAGGUCUGCUGUGAAAACUCGAGGCUCAACCUCGAGAUGUCGGCGGAAACCAUUUGGCUAGAGUCCGGAAGAGGAAAGUGGAAUUCCUGGUGUAGCGGUGAAAUGCGCAGAUAUCAGGAAGAACACCCGUGGCGAAGGCGGCUUUCUGGGACGGUACUGACGCUGAGACGCGAAAGCGUGGGGAGCGAACAGG
This 253-nucleotide ribosomal RNA is filed under the name uncultured bacterium. Its description in RNAcentral is "partial 16S ribosomal RNA". It matches the Rfam family "Bacterial small subunit ribosomal RNA", at positions 524 to 776 of the family's 1533-position model. The record is from RNAcentral.